GUGGGGAAUCUUAGACAAUGGGCGCAAGCCUGAUCUAGCCAUGCCGCGUGAGCGAUGAAGGCCUUAGGGUUGUAAAGCUCUUUCAGUGGGGAAGAUAAUGACUGUACCCACAGAAGAAGCCCCGGCUAACUCCGUGCCAGCAGCCGCGGUAAUACGGAGGGGGCUAGCGUUGUUCGGAAUUACUGGGCGUAAAGCGCACGUAGGCGGACUGGAAAGUCAGGGGUGAAAUCCCGGGGCUCAACCACGGAACUGCCUUUGAAACUCCCAGUCUUGAGGUCGAGAGAGGUGAGUGGAAUUCCGAGUGUAGAGGUGAAAUUCGUAGAUAUUCGGAGGACACCAGUGGCGAAGGCGGCUCACUGGCUCGAUACUGACGCUGAGGUGCGAAAGCGUGGGGAGCAAACAGGAUUAGAUACCCGUGUAGUCC
Molecule: ribosomal RNA, 424 nt
Filed under: uncultured bacterium
Lineage: Bacteria
Description: partial 16S ribosomal RNA
Rfam family: Bacterial small subunit ribosomal RNA
Source: RNAcentral